Molecule: ribosomal RNA, 444 nt
Filed under: uncultured bacterium
Lineage: Bacteria
Description: SSU rRNA
Rfam family: Bacterial small subunit ribosomal RNA
Source: RNAcentral
AGAACGAACGCUGGCGGCAUGCCUAACACAUGCAAGUCGAACGAGACCUUCGGGUCUAGUGGCGCACGGGUGCGUAACGCGUGGGAAUCUGCCCUUAGGUACGGAAUAACAGUGAGAAAUUACUGCUAAUACCGUAUGAUGUCUUCGGACCAAAGAUUUAUCGCCUAGGGAUGAGCCCGCGUUGGAUUAGCUAGUUGGUGGGGUAAAGGCCUACCAAGGCGACGAUCCAUAGCUGGUCUGAGAGGAUGAUCAGCCACACUGGGACUGAGACACGGCCCAGACUCCUACGGGAGGCAGCAGUGGGGAAUAUUGGACAAUGGGCGAAAGCCUGAUCCAGCAAUGCCGCGUGAGUGAAGAAGGCCUUCGGGUUGUAAAGCUCUUUUACCCGGGAAGAUAAUGACUGUACCGGAGAAUAAGCCCGGCUAACUCCGCGCCAGCAGCCGC